UAAGCUAAUCACUCUCAUGUUUAUGAGGCC
This 30-nucleotide non-coding RNA is filed under the name Rattus norvegicus (Norway rat). Lineage: Eukaryota; Metazoa; Chordata; Mammalia; Rodentia; Muridae. The record is from RNAcentral.